This 395-nucleotide ribosomal RNA is filed under the name uncultured bacterium. RNAcentral describes it as "partial 16S ribosomal RNA". It matches the Rfam family "Bacterial small subunit ribosomal RNA", at positions 523 to 918 of the family's 1533-position model. The record is from RNAcentral.
AUACGUAGGGUGCAAGCGUUAAUCGGAAUUACUGGGCGUAAAGCGUGCGCAGGCGGUUUUGUAAGACAGAGGUGAAAUCCCCAGGCUCAACCUGGGAACUGCCUUUGUGACUGCAAGGCUAGAGUACGGCAGAGGGGGAUGGAAUUCCGCGUGUAGCAGUGAAAUGCGUAGAUAUGCGGAGGAACACCGAUGGCGAAGGCAAUCCCCUGGGCCUGUACUGACGCUCAUGCACGAAAGCGUGGGGAGCAAACAGGAUUAGAUACCCUGGUAGUCCACGCCCUAAACGAUGUCAACUGGUUGUUGGGUCUUCAUUGACUCAGUAACGAAGCUACCGCGUGAAGUUGACCGCCUGGGGAGUACGGCCGCAAGGUUGAAACUCAAAUGAAUUGGCGGGG